GGACCCGACUGCUAUCGGGGUAGGGCUAAGCCAUGGAAGUCGAACGCCCCGCCGCUGCGGGGCGUGGCGCACGGCUGAGUAACACGUGGCUAACCUACCCUCGGGAGGGGGAUAACCUCUCGGGAAACUGGGGCUAAUCCCCCAUAGGCGGGGGGGCCUGGAAAGGUUCCCCGCCAAAAGGGAGCGCAGGGGGCCAUCGCCUGCGCUCCGCCCGAGGAUGGGGCUGCGGCCUAUCAGGUAGUUGGCGGGGUAACGGCCCGCCAAGCCGAAGACGGGUAGGGGCCGUGAGAGCGGGAGCCCCCAGAUGGGCACUGAGACAAGGGCCCAGGCCCUACGGGGCGCACCAGGCGCGAAAACUCCGCAAUGCGGGAAACCGUGACGGGGCUACCCCGAGUGCCCCCCUUGUGGGGGCUUUUCCCCGCUGUAAGAAGGCGGGGGAAUAAGCGGGGGGCAAGUCUGGUGUCAGCCGCCGCGGUAAUACCAGCCCCGCGAGACCGGGGCCCUAAACAAGCCCCGGCGCGACUGGUCGGGGUGAUUAUUGGGCCUAAAGCGGCCGUAGCCGGCCCGGUAAGUCCCCCCUGAAAGUCUCGGGCUCAACCCGAGAAGCGGGGGGAUACUGCCGGGCUAGGGGGCGGGAGAGGCCGAGGGUACUCCCGGGGUAGGGGCGAAAUCCUAUAAUCCCGGGAGGACCACCAGUGGCGAAGGCGCUCGGCUGGAACGCGCCCGACGGUGAGGGCCGAAAGCCGGGGGAGCGAACCGGAUUAGAUACCCGGGUAGUCCCGGCUGUAAACGAUGCGGGCUAGGUGUUGGGCGGGCGAGAGAGCCCGCCCAGUGCCGCAGGGAAGCCGUUAAGCCCGCCGCCUGGGGAGUACGGCCGCAAACCUGGUUAGGGCUUAGAGCCCUACCGGGGCGGAAGGCUGAAACUUAAAGGAAAGGGAGGCUGGAAGCUGGGUGCAAAGGCUUAAAUAGCUCUUUUAGGCUUCUAAGUUCCAUCUUUACUCUCUUCAUCUGUCUACCCAGCUUCCACUUCCCCCUGAAUUGGCGGGGGAGCACACAAGGGGUGGAGCCUGCGGCUUAAUUGGAUUCAACGCCGGAA
Molecule: ribosomal RNA, 1096 nt
Filed under: uncultured Desulfurococcales archaeon
Lineage: Archaea; Thermoproteati; Thermoproteota; Thermoprotei; Desulfurococcales
Description: bacterial SSU rRNA
Rfam family: Archaeal small subunit ribosomal RNA
Source: RNAcentral